Molecule: ribosomal RNA, 479 nt
Filed under: uncultured bacterium
Lineage: Bacteria
Description: partial 16S ribosomal RNA
Rfam family: Bacterial small subunit ribosomal RNA
Source: RNAcentral
GAUGAACGCUCGCGGGAGGCCUAACACAUGCAAGCCGAGCGGUAGAGAUUCUUCGGAAUCUUGAGAGCGGCGUACGGGUGCGGAACACGUGUGCAACCUGCCUUUAUCAGGUGGAUAGCCUUUCGAAAGGAAGAUUAAUACCCCAUAAUAUAUUUGAUGGCAUCAUUAGAUAUUUACAGCUUUGGCGGAUCGAGAUGGGCACGCGCAAGAUUAGAUAGUUGGUGAGGUAACGGCUCACCAAGUCGAUGAUCUUUAGGGGGCCUGAGAGGGUGAUCCCCCAAACUGGGACCGAGACACAGACCAGAAUCCCACGGGAGGCAGCAGGGAGGAAUAUUGGACAAUGGGUUAGCGGCUGAUCCAGCCAUCCCGCGUGAAGGAAGACGGCCCUAUGGGUUGUAAACUUCUUUUGUACAGGGAUAAACCUACUCUCGUGAGAGUAGCUGAAGGUACUGUACGAAUAAGCACCGGCUAACUCCGUG